GAUGAACGCUAGCGGCAGGCUUAAUACAUGCAAGUCGAGGGGCAGCAGGGGUAGCAAUACCCGCUGGCGACCGGCAAACGGGUGCGGAACACGUACAGAACCUUCCUUUAAGCGGGGGAUAGCCCAUAGAAAUGUGGAUUAAUACCCAUAGUAAUAUUGUCUGGCAUCAGGUGGUAUUUAAAGAUUUAUCACUUAAAAUGGCUGUGCGGCUGAUUAGGUAGUUGGUGUGGGUAACGGCCCACCAAGCCAGCGAUCAGUAACUGGUGUGAGAGCACGACCAGUCACACGGGCACUGAGACACGGGCCCGACUCCUACGGGAGGGCAGCAGUAAGGAAUAUUGGUCAAUGGACGCAAGU
This 357-nucleotide ribosomal RNA is filed under the name uncultured bacterium. RNAcentral's name for it is "bacterial SSU rRNA". It matches the Rfam family "Bacterial small subunit ribosomal RNA", at positions 28 to 382 of the family's 1533-position model. The record is from RNAcentral.